GUGCCAGCCGCCGCGGUAAGACGUAGGGGGCCAGCGUUGUUCGGAAUUACUGGGUGUAAAGGGUUCGUAGGCGGUGUGGCAAGUUGGGAGUGAAAUCUCUGGGCUCAACCCAGAGGCUGCUUCCAAAACUGCUGUGCUUGAGUGUGAGAGAGGCUCGUGGAAUUGCAGGUGUAGCGGUGAAAUGCGUAGAUAUCUGCAGGAACACCCGUGGCGAAAGCGGCGAGCUGGAUCACUACUGACGCUGAGGAACGAAAGCUAGGGGAGCAAACAGGAUUAGAAACCCUCGUAGUCC
Molecule: ribosomal RNA, 292 nt
Filed under: uncultured bacterium
Lineage: Bacteria
Description: partial 16S ribosomal RNA
Rfam family: Bacterial small subunit ribosomal RNA
Source: RNAcentral